This 254-nucleotide ribosomal RNA is filed under the name uncultured bacterium. Its description in RNAcentral is "partial 16S ribosomal RNA". It matches the Rfam family "Bacterial small subunit ribosomal RNA", at positions 524 to 776 of the family's 1533-position model. The record is from RNAcentral.
UACGAAGGGGGCUAGCGUUGCUCGGAAUCACUGGGCGUAAAGCGCACGUAGGCGGCUUUCUAAGUCAGGGGUGAAAUCCUGGAGCUCAACUCCAGAACUGCCUUUGAUACUGGAAAGCUUGAGUUCGGGAGAGGGAUGCAGAAUUCCAGGUGUAGCGGUGAAAUGCGUAGAUAUCAAGAGGAACACCUGAGGUGAAGACGGGUUGCUGGGCCGACACUGACGCUGAGUGCGCGAAAGCCAGGGGAGCAAACGGG